RNAcentral lists this ribosomal RNA (253 nucleotides) under uncultured bacterium. RNAcentral describes it as "partial 16S ribosomal RNA". It matches the Rfam family "Bacterial small subunit ribosomal RNA", at positions 524 to 776 of the family's 1533-position model. The record is from RNAcentral.
UACGUAGGGGGCAAGCGUUGUCCGGAUUUAUUGGGCGUAAAGAGCUCGUAGGCGGUUUGGCAAGUCGGAAGUUAAAACUGCAGGCUCAACCUGUAGUCGCUUUCGAAACUGCUAUGACUUGAAUCUGGUAGGGGAUGACGGAAUUCCUGGUGUAGCGGUGAAAUGCGCAGAUAUCAGGAGGAACACCAAUGGCGAAGGCAGUCAUCUGGGCCAGUAUUGACGCUGAGGAGCGAAAGCGUGGGGAGCGAACAGG